UAGGCCUGCAACAAAUGACUUCUCUCCUGU
Molecule: non-coding RNA, 30 nt
Filed under: Mus musculus (house mouse)
Lineage: Eukaryota; Metazoa; Chordata; Mammalia; Rodentia; Muridae
Source: RNAcentral